Long non-coding RNA from Rhagoletis pomonella (apple maggot), 713 nucleotides. RefSeq lists it as uncharacterized. The transcript has 3 exons. The record is from RefSeq and is a predicted model, not a curated record. Lineage: Eukaryota; Metazoa; Arthropoda; Insecta; Diptera; Tephritidae.
CAAAACAAAAUUGCUUUUUAAUUCUUGUUUUCAUCGCUGCUUCGGCUCAACGGCGAAGCGACACUGUAGCGAACGCAAUGUCAUCUAAUGUGCUGGGUGCCAGUGGGUGCACACAACAGAAACGUGUACAAAACGCGAUGUGUUGAAUGGCCCAGGAGGGGAUGACGUCGCAUUAAAAUGACUGCAUUAUCUACACUGGUUGGCAUGACAAGAAACAGGAAUAAUAUAAAGCCAAUAGAAAGGAAGCAAACCCAAAGUGGAUGCAAUAAAUGAGAAAAUAACCUUUUCGCAAUAACACGAUUUAGUUAAAUUCGAGAUGUAUCUGCAACUUUAACUCAAAGGAACAAAUUAUUUUUUAAGCCUGUAUGACAAAAUCUUCCUUCAACUCAAGGCGAAAAAAUAUAUUACCAAAAGGAAAUGGCGAAGAGCAAUGAAAAAUUCGUUUAUCUCUUUCGCACAUUACUAUUUGGCAUUUUUUGCACAAAAGAGACAAAAAUAAAAACAUGAAUAGAUUGUGAAUGGGCAAUAAACGGAACAGGUCAAAAGGACAGUGCUGCAUUCGAUCUUCCAGUAAGAAUUUUGUACACAAUUAAGAAAACAUGUGCAUCAAAACCGAAAGCCGACCCGCAAUGUUAUUAAAAAAAUUAAGUAGCAGAAGCAAAUAGUAUAGGUAGGGCUUUUUAAAAAGUGGCAUGUAACUCCGUUGUUUUUGG